GAGGCAGUAGUGGAAGUCGUUCACGACAACAACCUCUGACAGCGAUCGUAAAUGCCUUGGACAUAAUCAUGUUUCCAGCGUCAACAUAUUCUAUCUGCAUAGCAUCGUUCUUGAAUUUUAAUGCGCUGGCUCUGGGGGUAUUGGUAAUUCUCUGUGAGGUCGUGUCCGGGUUCCGCACGGAUCAAGUUCCGAAAGUUCCGAAAGUUCAAGGCCGCGAGCAGGAUGUCAACUGAAAAGUAUCAGGCCUACAGUUCACUGUACAGUCGAAAUUGUCCAAGACGGCCACCCAUUGUUGAGGAGAGUCGUGGUUGUCAUAGACAGGUGGACGCCUACAACAGUAUCGCUUUGGUAUUUAAAGGAACUGGUUGUUUGUACAGUUGUUUGCCUUAGACAGGUAGCCGUUACCAUAAAAGGCUACUUCAUGAUAAAGUCUUUCUUUGAGGUUUUUUAUUAAGUAGGUAUAAAUAUGCAGACGCGCGUGAAAUAAAGACGAUAAAUAUGUAAAUAGA
This is a long non-coding RNA of Aplysia californica (California sea hare), 509 nucleotides long. RefSeq lists it as uncharacterized. The transcript has 2 exons. The record is from RefSeq and is a predicted model, not a curated record. Lineage: Eukaryota; Metazoa; Mollusca; Gastropoda; Aplysiida; Aplysiidae.